UAAGAAUAUUGGACAAUGGGGGAAACCCUGAUCCAGCUACGCCGCGUGAGUGAAGAAGGCCUUCGGGUUGUAAAGCUCUUUUAGUCGUGACGAUGAUGACGGUAGCGACAGAAAAAGCACCGGCUAACUUCGUGCCAGCAGCCGCGGUAAUACGAAGGGUGCAAGCGUUGUUCGGAUUUACUGGGCGUAAAGCGUCCGUAGGUGGUUUGUUAAGUCAGGGGUGAAAUCCCAGGGCCCAACCCUGGAACUGCCCUUGAUACUGGCAAGCUGGAACACGGAAGAGGAAGAUAGAAUUUGUGGUGUAGGGGUGAAAUCCGUAGAUAUCACAAGGAAUACCAAUGGCGAAGGCAGUCUUCUGGUCCGUUGCUGACACUGAGGGACGAAAGCGUGGGUAGCAAAC
This 400-nucleotide ribosomal RNA is filed under the name uncultured bacterium. RNAcentral's name for it is "bacterial SSU rRNA". It matches the Rfam family "Bacterial small subunit ribosomal RNA", at positions 356 to 773 of the family's 1533-position model. The record is from RNAcentral.